RNAcentral lists this ribosomal RNA (253 nucleotides) under uncultured bacterium. RNAcentral's name for it is "partial 16S ribosomal RNA". It matches the Rfam family "Bacterial small subunit ribosomal RNA", at positions 524 to 776 of the family's 1533-position model. The record is from RNAcentral.
UACGAAGGGGGCUAGCGUUGCUCGGAAUCACUGGGCGUAAAGGGUGCGUAGGCGGGUCUUUAAGUCAGGGGUGAAAUCCUGGAGCUCAACUCCAGAACUGCCUUUGAUACUGAAGAUCUUGAGUUCGGGAGAGGUGAGUGGAACUGCGAGUGUAGAGGUGAAAUUCGUAGAUAUUCGCAAGAACACCAGUGGCGAAGGCGGCUCACUGGCCCGAUACUAACGCUGAGGCACGAAAGCGUGGGGAGCAAACAGG